AGAGUUUGAUCCUGGCUCAGAUUGAACGCUGGCGGCAUGCCUUACACAUGCAGGUCGAACGGCAGCGCGGACUUCGGUCUGGCGGCGAGUGGCGAACGGGUGAGUAAUGCAUCGGAACGUACCUUUCAGUGGGGGAUAACGUAGCGAAAGUUACGCUAAUACCGCAUAUUCUGUGAGCAGGAAAGCAGGGGAUCGCAAGACCUUGCGCUGAUGGAGCGGCCGAUGUCAGAUUAGCUAGUUGGUGGGGUAAAGGCUCACCAAGGCGACGAUCUGUAGCGGGUCUUAGAGGAUGAUCCGCCACACUGGAACUGAGACACGGUCCAGACUCCUACGGGAGGCAGCAGUGGGGAAUUUUGGACAAUGGGCGCAAGCCUGAUCCAGCCAUGCCGCGUGAGUGAAGAAGGCCUUCGGGUUGUAAAGCUCUUUCGGCCGGGAAAAAAUCGCUUGGGUUAAUACCCUGAGUGGAUGAUGGUACCGGAAUAAGAAGCACCGGCUAACUACGUGCCAGCAGCCGCGGUAAUACGUAGGGUGCGAGCGUUAAUCGGAAUUACUGGGCGUAAAGCGUGCGCAGGCGGUUUUGUAAGACAGGCGUGAAAUCCCCGGGCUCAACCUGGGAACUGCGUUUGUGACUGCAAGGCUAGAGUAUGGCAGAGGGGGGUGGAAUUCCACGUGUAGCAGUGAAAUGCGUAGAGAUGUGGAGGAACACCAAUGGCGAAGGCAGCCCCCUGGGCCAAUACUGACGCUCAUGCACGAAAGCGUGGGGAGCAAACAGGAUUAGAUACCCUGGUAGUCCACGCCCUAAACGAUGUCAACUAGGUGUUGGGUGGGUAAAACCAUUUGGUACCGUAGCUAACGCGUGAAGUUGACUGCCUGGGGAGUACGGCCGCAAGGUUAAAACUCAAAGGAAUUGACGGGGACCCGCACAAGCGGUGGAUGAUGUGGAUUAAUUCGAUGCAACGCGAAAAACCUUACCUACCCUUGACAUGCCAGGAACUUGCCAGAGAUGGCUUGGUGCCCGAAAGGGAGCCUGGACACAGGUGCUGCAUGGCUGUCGUCAGCUCGUGUCGUGAGAUGUUGGGUUAAGUCCCGCAACGAGCGCAACCCUUGUCGUUAAUUGCCAUCAUUUAGUUGGGCACUUUAACGAGACUGCCGGUGACAAACCGGAGGAAGGUGGGGAUGACGUCAAGUCCUCAUGGCCCUUAUGGGUAGGGCUUCACACGUCAUACAAUGGUCGGUACAAAGGGUUGCCAAGCCGCGAGGCGGAGCCAAUCCCAGAAAGCCGAUCGUAGUCCGGAUCGCAGGCUGCAACUCGCCUGCGU
Molecule: ribosomal RNA, 1319 nt
Filed under: metagenome
Description: bacterial SSU rRNA
Rfam family: Bacterial small subunit ribosomal RNA
Source: RNAcentral